This 727-nucleotide long non-coding RNA is filed under the name Cricetulus griseus (Chinese hamster). RNAcentral describes it as "lncRNA (ENSCGRG00015023975.2)". The record is from RNAcentral. Lineage: Eukaryota; Metazoa; Chordata; Mammalia; Rodentia; Cricetidae.
AGUGUGGGCAGCAGAGGGCAGCAAUGAGCUUCACAUGGCCUUCUGAUCUCAGAACCUCUGGAAAUUGAACCUGCCUCUCUGAUCCUCCAGCUCCAUUGCACAGAUGGGGAAAUCAGUCCUUGGCAGGACAGCGAGAAAGACGCAGGACAACUCAGUGAGAAGCAGAGUGAAGGUGAAGGAGGGCCCAGGGAGAGCCAGGACCCCCAAGAUGCUGCUGGGAAAGACCUAGGGAAAUACCUGAUACUAUUGCUGUUGCAAGUGAUGACCAUGUGUGAGAUACUGGUGUGUGCAGACCCUGGGUCUAGAGAGCUGACACCAUGAUCUCCUGAAAGACAUCACAACUACUGCUCUCCAUACUUCCCAUUGAGUCUCUAACCCAGACUGAUCAUGGGGAAAAUGUAAAUAUGGCCACCUGUGCACACACUCUCUCUCUACUUUUGAGAUGGGGGUCUAAUUUUGGAACUCACUAUAUAGCUUAGGCUAGCCUCAAAUUCAUGGCAGUUCUCCUGCCUCCAAGUGCUGGGAUUACAAGCUUGAACCACCACACCUGGCUUGUCUCUUUCUUAACCUUCCAACAGGGGAUGGGGAAAUGGCUCAGAGAAUAAAAGCACUUGCCUUGCAAACACAAGGACUGGCUUUUGGAUACCCAUCACUUACAUAAAAGCCAGGCUUGUGACACACACACACACACACACCCAAACAAACAAACAAACAAACAAACAAACAG